AACCCGGUGAUCUAGCCAUGGGCAGGUUGAAGGUUGGGUAACACUAACUGGAGGACCGAACCGACUAAUGUUGAAAAAUUAGCGGAUGACUUGUGGCUGGGGGUGAAAGGCCAAUCAAACCGGGAGAUAGCUGGUUCUCCCCGAAAGCUAUUUAGGUAGCGCCUCGUGAAUUCAUCUCCGGGGGUAGAGCACUGUUUCGGCAAGGGGGUCAUCCCGACUUACCAACCCGAUGCAAACUGCGAAUACCGGAGAAUGUUAUCACGGGAGACACACGGCGGGUGCUAACGUCCGUCGUGAAGAGGGAAACAACCCAGACCGCCAGCUAAGGUCCCAAAGUCAUGGUUAAGUGGGAAACGAUGUGGGAAGGCCCAGACAGCCAGGAUGUUGGCUUAGAAGCAGCCAUCAUUUAAAGAAAGCGUAAUAGCUCACUGGUCGAGUCGGCCUGCGCGGAAGAUGUAACGGGGCUAAACCAUGCACCGAAGCUGCGGCAGCGACACUAUGUGUUGUUGGGUAGGGGAGCGU
This 522-nucleotide ribosomal RNA is filed under the name Escherichia coli. Its description in RNAcentral is "partial 23S ribosomal RNA". It matches the Rfam family "Bacterial large subunit ribosomal RNA", at positions 719 to 1239 of the family's 2925-position model. The record is from RNAcentral. Lineage: Bacteria; Pseudomonadati; Pseudomonadota; Gammaproteobacteria; Enterobacterales; Enterobacteriaceae.